Molecule: ribosomal RNA, 301 nt
Filed under: uncultured bacterium
Lineage: Bacteria
Description: partial 16S ribosomal RNA
Rfam family: Bacterial small subunit ribosomal RNA
Source: RNAcentral
CAGUAGCCACGGGAAUACGGAGGGUGCAAGCGUUAAUCGGAAUUACUGGGCGUAAAGCGCACGCAGGCGGUCUGUCAAGUCAGAUGUGAAAUCCCCGGGCUUAACCUGGGAACUGCAUUUGAAACUGGCAGGCUAGAGUCUUGUAGAGGGGGGUAGAAUUCCAGGUGUAGCGGUGAAAUGCGUAGAGAUCUGGAGGAAUACCGGUGGCGAAGGCGGCCCCCUGGACAAAGACUGACGCUCAGGUGCGAAAGCGUGGGGAGCAAACAGGAUUAGAUACCCCUGUAGUCCCUGUCUCUUAUAA